AAAGAGCUUCCUUCAGUCCACUCAUGGAUGAGAAAAUGGGGACGAAUUAGCUGCCGACUCAUUCGUUUAAGCACUUAAUAGCAUGCGAAAGAAAGAAAAAAGUAAAAUGCUAUUUGUGAUUGAAUGAAUGAUGCGGGAGAUAGUUUCUUCCCUCUCCGUCUGUGCUUGGACUGAAGGGAGCUCCUC
This 186-nucleotide microRNA precursor is filed under the name Phelipanche ramosa. RNAcentral describes it as "miR319a". It matches the Rfam family "MIR159 microRNA precursor family", at positions 13 to 184 of the family's 196-position model. The record is from RNAcentral. Lineage: Eukaryota; Viridiplantae; Streptophyta; Magnoliopsida; Lamiales; Orobanchaceae.